UACGUAGGUCCCGAGCGCUGUCCGGAUUUAUUGGGCGUAAAGCGAGCGCAGGUGGUUUAUUAAGUCUGGUGUAAAAGGCAGUGGCUCAACCAUUGUAUGCAUUGGAAACUGGUAGACUUGAGUGCAGGAGAGGAGAGUGGAAUUCCAUGUGUAGCGGUGAAAUGCGUAGAUAUAUGGAGGAACACCGGUGGCGAAAGCGGUUCUCUGGCCUGUAACUGACGCUGAGGUUCGAAAGCGUGGGUAGCAAACAGG
Molecule: ribosomal RNA, 252 nt
Filed under: uncultured bacterium
Lineage: Bacteria
Description: partial 16S ribosomal RNA
Rfam family: Bacterial small subunit ribosomal RNA
Source: RNAcentral